UACGUAGGUGGCAAGCGUUGUCCGGAUUUACUGGGUGUAAAGGGCGCGUAGGCGGGAUGGCAAGUCAGAUGUGAAAUCUACGGGCUUAACCCGUAAACUGCAUUUGAAACUGUCGUUCUUGAGUAUCGGAGAGGCAAGCGGAAUUCCUAGUGUAGCGGUGAAAUGCGUAGAUAUUAGGAGGAACACCAGUGGCGAAGGCGGCUUGCUGGACGACAGCUGACGCUGAGGCGCGAAGGCGUGGGGAGCAAAC
RNAcentral lists this ribosomal RNA (250 nucleotides) under uncultured prokaryote. Its description in RNAcentral is "partial 16S ribosomal RNA". It matches the Rfam family "Bacterial small subunit ribosomal RNA", at positions 524 to 773 of the family's 1533-position model. The record is from RNAcentral.